GAUGAGCGCUGGCGGCGUGCCUAAUACAUGCAAGUCGAGCGAACAGAUGAGGAGCUUGCUCCUCUGACGUUGGCGGCGGACGGGUGAGUAACACGUGGAUAACCUACCUAUAAGACUGGGAUAACUUCGGGAAACCGGAGCUAAUACCGGAUAAUAUAUUGAACCGCAUGGUUCAAUAGUGAAAGACGGUUUUGCUGUCACUUAUAGAUGGAUCCGCGCCGCAUUAGCUAGUUGGUAAGGUAACGGCUUACCAAGGCAACGAUGCGUAGCCGACCUGAGAGGGUGAUCGGCCACACUGGAACUGAGACACGGUCCAGACUCCUACGGGAGGCAGCAGUAGGGAAUCUUCCGCAAUGGGCGAAAGCCUGACGGAGCAACGCCGCGUGAGUGAUGAAGGUCUUCGGAUCGUAAAACUCUGUUAUUAGGGAAGAACAAAUGUGUAAGUAACUAUGCACGUCUUGACGGUACCUAAUCAGAAAGCCACGGCUAACUACGUG
Molecule: ribosomal RNA, 497 nt
Filed under: uncultured bacterium
Lineage: Bacteria
Description: partial 16S ribosomal RNA
Rfam family: Bacterial small subunit ribosomal RNA
Source: RNAcentral